Molecule: ribosomal RNA, 460 nt
Filed under: uncultured bacterium
Lineage: Bacteria
Description: partial 16S ribosomal RNA
Rfam family: Bacterial small subunit ribosomal RNA
Source: RNAcentral
CCUACGGGGGGCAGCAGUGAGGAAUAUUGGUCAAUGGACGCAAGCCUGAACCAGCCAUGCCGCGUGCAGGAUGACGGCUCUCUGAGUUGUAAACUGCUUUUGUACGAGGGUAAACCCCGAUACGUGUAUCGGGUUGAAAGUAUCGUACGAAUAAGGAUCGGCUAACUCCGUGCCAUCAGCCGCGGUACUACGGAGGGUCCGAGCGUUAUCCGGAUUUAUUGGGUUUAAAGGGGGCGUAGGCGGUUUGAUAAGUUAGAGGUGAAAUGUCGGGGCUCAACCCCGGAACUGCCUCUAAUACUGUUGGACUAGAGAAUAGUUGCGGUAGGCGGAAUGUAUGGUGUAGCGGUGAAAUGCUUAGAGAUCAUACAGAAUACCGAUUGCGAAGGCAGCUUACCAAACUAUAUCUGACGUUGAGGCACGAAAGCGUGGGUAGCAAACAGGAUUAGAUACCCCUGUAGUC